RNAcentral lists this ribosomal RNA (507 nucleotides) under Triticum aestivum (bread wheat). Its description in RNAcentral is "partial small subunit ribosomal RNA". Lineage: Eukaryota; Viridiplantae; Streptophyta; Magnoliopsida; Poales; Poaceae. The record is from RNAcentral.
AUGAGAUGCGAGCUUGGCUUCUGCAAUCAUGAAGAUAUAUCAGAAAAUUGCAAGGUUCGCUUCAGUAAAUACCUGAGUGCAGAACCGGUAGAUGGAGUUUUGACGUGUGUGGAGCAGGGGCGAACGGCGGAUGGUGUGUCGGCGAAGUCUGUGGAGGUGACAUUGGAUAGUUCCCAGAAGCAUUGUGUGGUGGUGCGCAAGCUUGAUCAAGUCGACAGCCAACUCGAUGCCGCGGCAGGCUACCUAGAAGACGUCCUUGUGGUGUUGCACGCGUACAGUGGGCUCGGCGGUGAGAACGGCGGCAAUCUGGGAGUGCCCGUAUUCGGAUCACACGGCUCGGCUCUCAUCCCCAAUGGCCUCCUUGCGGUGUCGUGCACGUCCGGCGCACUUGACAGUGAGGACGGCGGUGAUUUGGAAGUGCCCUUGGUUGGAUCAUACGGCUCAGCUCCUACCCCAAACGGCCUAUUCAUGCUUCUGCAUGUGCUCAUGGCCUCUGGCGAUGGCUGA